Non-coding RNA from Cyanistes caeruleus (blue tit), 593 nucleotides. The record is from RefSeq and is a predicted model, not a curated record. Lineage: Eukaryota; Metazoa; Chordata; Aves; Passeriformes; Paridae.
UGUAACUUAACUUUACUGCAUUGGUUUGGAGCUGCCCUGCCCUGGCACAUAGUUAGAGUUAGGUGGAACAAUUAUAAAAGGUCUCUGAUGCCUAUUUUCUGAGGAUCUACCGUUUGAUGUUGAGAAGCAGCAGUGAGAAGAUAUCUGAGGGCAUUUUGUUCAGCAGAGUGUUUCAAAUAAGGGUUGUGGUCACUGUGCGAGUUAGUCUGCUGCUGUAUGUCAGAGUGUGUCUGUCUGUGAGAGUUGGUGGUUCUGGGUCUGCUUGUGUGCAUGUGUGUCGAGUGGUUCUAACCUGGUAUGUAUGGCUUUUGCUUUUCAGGACUUGCAAUUCACUUUUAAAUUUAGAAUAAAAAAUCCCCAGCUGGGGGUUUUUUUUUUUUUUCCCUCCCAGCUGGGGUUUUUUUUCCUCGGUCCCGGCCGGUCUGCGAGGCGACAGUCAUCGCCAAAGUUUGGGCACGGACCGGCCCCGGACCGAGGUUUUCGUCAGGCAGGCUGAAUUCGAGGCCCCCCGGGAACCGAGUUCCCGUGGGGUAGGAGGGGGGUGUGCGUUUGUGUCGAGUGGUUCUAACCUGGUAUGUAUGGCUUUUGCUUUU